This 462-nucleotide ribosomal RNA is filed under the name uncultured bacterium. RNAcentral's name for it is "bacterial SSU rRNA". It matches the Rfam family "Bacterial small subunit ribosomal RNA", at positions 28 to 507 of the family's 1533-position model. The record is from RNAcentral.
AAUCAACGCUGGCGGCGUGCCUAACACAUGCAAGUCGAACGCGAAAGGGGCUUCGGUCCUGAGUAGAGUGGCGGACGGGUGAGUAACACGUGGAUGACCUGCCCUCGAGUGGGGGAUAACUCUUCGAAAGGGGAGCUAAGACCGCAUGAGCUCCCGGGGGCGACUCUGGGAGGAAAGCCUUAGGGUGCUGGAGGAGGGGUCCGCGACCGAUUAGCUGGUUGGUGGGGUAAGGGCCUACCAAGGCGACGAUCGGUAGCCGGUCUGAGAGGACGGACGGCCACACUGGAACUGAGAGACGGUCCAGACUCCUACGGGAGGCAGCAGUGGGGAAUUUUGCGCAAUGGGCGCAAGCCUGACGCAGCAACGCCGCGUGGAGGAUGAAGGUUUUCGGAUUGUAAACUCCUGUCCCGGGGGAAGAAGGCAGUGACGGUACCCUGGGAGGAAGCCCCGGCUAACUCCGUG